Bactrocera neohumeralis is the source of this 1311-nucleotide long non-coding RNA. RefSeq lists it as uncharacterized. The record is from RefSeq and is a predicted model, not a curated record. The transcript has 3 exons. Lineage: Eukaryota; Metazoa; Arthropoda; Insecta; Diptera; Tephritidae.
UAGGUGACGCGUCAUGAGUCGCUGGCCACUGCAAGCCGCCGCGAAAAAGCAGUGAAAAGUGAAAUUUGAAAAAUCUAACAAUGGCGGCAGUCACUUGUAGCCGGCGCGGGAGCUGCCAUGGCGGCAUUGCCGGCGCGUUAUUGCGGUUGUUGGUGGAUUUGCGGACAGCUAGUGUGUGCUUAGAGUGUUUAUUGUGGCAUAAUAUUGCAUAAUAGUGAAGAUGUUGCAUGCAACUUCAGUGAAACAUAAGUCUCAAAUUUCAACUUAAGACAAAUGUCGGCGCAUAAUCACACGCACAUACUCUCAAAGCCAAGCAGCAAGUGGACAGCCGAGCGCUUAUACUACAUACAUACAUAUAUAAGCUGGUUGUGUGGACAACGAACGACUCCGCGGGUAACGGCAACUUAGUAGCGGCCAUGGUUACACAGCCGAGCCAAGCGAAUGAAGAUGAAGACGCUGCCGGCAAAAGGAAGUCCGCCGAAAUUAUUCCAGCAACGCUGACGUAUGGCGUGCAGACGAAUACAUACCAUGGCGGAGAAGAAAGUAAAAUUCCGGUAAGGCAACGCGCGAAGGAAAUGAGUAUGUGGUUGACGGCACGAGCAUGGAACGACGCAAUAACCCAGCGAUUGCUGGAGAAAAUUAACGAAAAAUACUUUGGCAACAAUAUAAAUGAAUAUACCCAGCAGCAGCAGCAAUAAUGAGCCCAGCACAGCAACAACUGCAUGGACAAAGCACAACAUGAUCUACAACAACAACAUAGUUAGCAACAACUACUAUCCGUCCGUCAAGCAAAUGAAUGGGAGACAAAGAAUAAUUGCAGUCGCCAUGAACUUCCCACCGAAGGCAGCCAUCAAGGCUAGGAUGCCUCAUAUCCUGCGCCCGAAUAUCUGCAUUAACGACAUGCAUGUGUUUAUACCGCUGCUUACAGUUAUGCCAAUCAAACUAACUGUCAAAAAUGUCAUUUGGAAGAAAAAGCAAAUCGUGGCAGUCUUUAAAGGUAGACUCACCUGGCAUUAAGAACAAACUGUAAAUUCUUAAUUACACAUGCGACACAAUGGAGAUAAAUGAAUACACUAAAGGAGGGGUGAGUUUUUGUCUUGAACAUCGACAAACAUGAAAAAGAAUACAAAGAACGCAAAUAAACGGUAGCUAAGGUAAUUAAAAACAAUGAGAGUUGUCUGCUGACCAUUAGACGAUGGAUAAGCAAAUGCACAAAGAGCAAAAGAUAAGAAAAAAGAAAAUUCUAUUUAGAAAAUAUGAAAAUGUAUGAAAUAAUAUGUAAAUAAAAAUGAAAUAUAAAUAAAAAUGCGA